GGGGGACCAUCCUCCAAGGCUAAAUACUCCUGACUGACCGAUAGUGAACCAGUACCGUGAGGGAAAGGCGAAAAGAACCCCGGCGAGGGGAGUGAAAAAGAACCUGAAACCGUGUACGUACAAGCAGUGGGAGCACGCUUAGGCGUGUGACUGCGUACCUUUUGUAUAAUGGGUCAGCGACUUAUAUUCUGUAGCAAGGUUAACCGAAUAGGGGAGCCGAAGGGAAACCGAGUCUUAACUGGGCGUUAAGUUGCAGGGUAUAGACCCGAAACCCGGUGAUCUAGCCAUGGGCAGGUUGAAGGUUGGGUAACACUAACUGGAGGACCGAACCGACUAAUGUUGAAAAAUUAGCGGAUGACUUGUGGCUGGGGGUGAAAGGCCAAUCAAACCGGGAGAUAGCUGGUUCUCCCCGAAAGCUAUUUAGGUAGCGCCUCGUGAAUUCAUCUCCGGGGGUAGAGCACUGUUUCGGCAAGGGGGUCAUCCCGACUUACCAACCCGAUGCAAACUGCGAAUACCGGAGAAUGUUAUCACGGGAGACACACGGCGGGUGCUAACGUCCGUCGUGAAGAGGGAAACAACCCAGACCGCCAGCUAAGGUCCCAAAGUCAUGGUUAAGUGGGAAACGAUGUGGGAAGGCCCAGACAGCCAGGAUGUUGGCUUAGAAGCAGCCAUCAUUUAAAGAAAGCGUAAUAGCUCACUGGUCGAGUCGGCCUGCGCGGAAGAUGUAACGGGGCUAAACCAUGCACCGAAGCUGCGGCAGCGACGCUUAUGCGUUGUUGGGUAGGGGAGCGUUCUGUAAGCCUGUGAAGGUGUGCUGUGAGGCAUGCUGGAGGUAUCAGAAGUGCGAAUGCUGACAUAAGUAACGAUAAAGCGGGUGAAAAGCCCGCUCGCCGGAAGACCAAGGGUUCCUGUCCAACGUUAAUCGGGGCAGGGUGAGUCGACCCCUAAGGCGAGGCCGAAAGGCGUAGUCGAUGGGAAACAGGUUAAUAUUCCUGUACUUGGUGUUA
This 1007-nucleotide ribosomal RNA is filed under the name Escherichia coli. Its description in RNAcentral is "partial 23S ribosomal RNA". It matches the Rfam family "Bacterial large subunit ribosomal RNA", at positions 447 to 1453 of the family's 2925-position model. Lineage: Bacteria; Pseudomonadati; Pseudomonadota; Gammaproteobacteria; Enterobacterales; Enterobacteriaceae. The record is from RNAcentral.